GACGAACGCUGGCGGCGGGCUUAACACAUGCAAGUCGAACGGAAAGGCCCUGCUUUUGUGGGGUGCUCGAGUGGCGAACGGGUGAGUAACACGUGAGUAACCUGCCCUUGACUUUGGGAUAACUUCAGGAAACUGGGGCUAAUACCGGAUAGGAGCUCCUGCUGCAUGGUGGGGGUUGGAAAGUUUCGGCGGUUGGGGAUGGACUCGCGGCUUAUCAGCUUGUUGGUUGGGUAGUGGAUUACCAAGGCUUUGACGGGUAGCCGGCCUGAGAGGGUGACCGGAUACGUUGGGAUUGGAAUGCGGCACGGACCAAUCCGGGAGGCAGAAGAGGGGAAUAUUGCACAAUGGGCGGAAGCAUGAUGCAGCAACGCCGCGUGCGGGAUGACGGGCUGCGGGUUGUAAACCGCUAUUGUCUGUGCCGAAGCGUGAGUGACGGUAAUGGGUAAAGAAGCACCGGCUAACUACGUG
This 468-nucleotide ribosomal RNA is filed under the name uncultured bacterium. RNAcentral's name for it is "partial 16S ribosomal RNA". It matches the Rfam family "Bacterial small subunit ribosomal RNA", at positions 28 to 507 of the family's 1533-position model. The record is from RNAcentral.